GACGAACGCUGGCGGCGCGCUUAACACAUGCAAGUCGAACGGAAAGGCCUGCUUUCCCUUGUGGAUUGCGGGUACUCGAGUGGCGAACGGGUGAGUAACACGUGAGUGAUCUGCCCCCAACUUGGGUAUAAGCCUGGGAAACUGGGUCUAAUUCCCGAUAGGACUGCAGGGUGGUGCCUGUGGUGGAAAACGAUUUUCUAGUGGUUGGGGAUGAGCUCGCGGCCUAUCAGCUUGUUGGUGGGGUAAUGGCCUACCAAGGCGGCGACGGGUAGCCGGCCGGGGAGGGUGGACGGCCACAUUGGGACUGAGAUACGGCCCAGACGCCUACGGGAGGCAGCAGAGGGGAAUAUUGCGCAAUGGGCGGAAGCCUGAUGCGGCGACGCCGCGGGGGGGAUGACGGCCUUCGGGUUGUAAACUCCUUUCGACCGCGAGGAAGCCACCUGGUUGGAAGGGUGGUGACGGUAGUGGUAGAAGAAGCACCGGCUAACUACGUG
Molecule: ribosomal RNA, 494 nt
Filed under: uncultured bacterium
Lineage: Bacteria
Description: partial 16S ribosomal RNA
Rfam family: Bacterial small subunit ribosomal RNA
Source: RNAcentral